RNAcentral lists this transfer RNA (72 nucleotides) under Camelus bactrianus (Bactrian camel). It matches the Rfam family "tRNA". From Rfam's summary of the family: Transfer RNA (tRNA) molecules are approximately 80 nucleotides in length. Their secondary structure includes four short double-helical elements and three loops (D, anti-codon, and T loops). Lineage: Eukaryota; Metazoa; Chordata; Mammalia; Artiodactyla; Camelidae. The record is from Rfam by way of RNAcentral. RNAcentral also lists the same sequence under 2 other names.
GAGGGUACAGCUCAGUGGUAGAGCGUGUGCUUAGCAUGCACAAAGUCCUGGGUUCAAUCCCCAGUACCUCCA